AGCACGUUAUGGUGGGCACUCUAAGGAGACUGCCGGUGACAACCGGAGGAAGGUGGGGAUGACGUCAAGUCAUCAUGGCCCUUACGGCCUGGGCUACACACGUGCUACAAUGGUCGGUACAAAGGGUUGCCAAGCCGCGAGGUGGAGCUAAUCCCAUAAAACCGAUCGUAGUCCGGAUCGCAGUCUGCAACUCGACUGCGUGAAGUCGGAAUUGCUAGUAAUCGUGAAUCAGAAUGUCACGGUGAAUACGUUCCCGGGCCUU
RNAcentral lists this ribosomal RNA (262 nucleotides) under uncultured Pseudomonas sp. RNAcentral describes it as "partial 16S ribosomal RNA". It matches the Rfam family "Bacterial small subunit ribosomal RNA", at positions 1120 to 1382 of the family's 1533-position model. The record is from RNAcentral. Lineage: Bacteria; Pseudomonadati; Pseudomonadota; Gammaproteobacteria; Pseudomonadales; Pseudomonadaceae.